RNAcentral lists this ribosomal RNA (716 nucleotides) under uncultured Haemophilus sp. RNAcentral's name for it is "bacterial SSU rRNA". It matches the Rfam family "Bacterial small subunit ribosomal RNA", at positions 72 to 781 of the family's 1533-position model. Lineage: Bacteria; Pseudomonadati; Pseudomonadota; Gammaproteobacteria; Pasteurellales; Pasteurellaceae. The record is from RNAcentral.
GAGAAAGCUUGCUUUCUUGCUGACGAGUGGCGGACGGGUGAGUAAUGCUUGGGAAUCUGGCUUAUGGAGGGGGAUAACGACGGGAAACUGUCGCUAAUACCGCGUAGUGUCGAGAGACGAAAGUGCGGGACUGAGAGGCCGCAUGCCAUAGGAUGAGCCCAAGUGGGAUUAGGUAGUUGGUGGGGUAAAGGCCUACCAAGCCUGCGAUCUCUAGCUGGUCUGAGAGGAUGACCAGCCACACUGGAACUGAGACACGGUCCAGACUCCUACGGGAGGCAGCAGUGGGGAAUAUUGCGCAAUGGGGGGAACCCUGACGCAGCCAUGCCGCGUGAAUGAAGAAGGCCUUCGGGUUGUAAAGUUCUUUCGGUAUUGAGGAAGGUUGAUGUGUUAAUAGCACAUCAAAUUGACGUUAAAUACAGAAGAAGCACCGGCUAACUCCGUGCCAGCAGCCGCGGUAAUACGGAGGGUGCGAGCGUUAAUCGGAAUAACUGGGCGUAAAGGGCACGCAGGCGGUUAUUUAAGUGAGGUGUGAAAGCCCCGGGCUUAACCUGGGAAUUGCAUUUCAGACUGGGUAACUAGAGUACUUUAGGGAGGGGUAGAAUUCCACGUGUAGCGGUGAAAUGCGUAGAGAUGUGGAGGAAUACCGAAGGCGAAGGCAGCCCCUUGGGAAUGUACUGACGCUCAUGUGCGAAAGCGUGGGGAGCAAACAGGAUUAG